Molecule: RNA transcript, 736 nt
Organism: Dermacentor albipictus
Lineage: Eukaryota; Metazoa; Arthropoda; Arachnida; Ixodida; Ixodidae
Source: RefSeq, a predicted model, not a curated record
GUGCGUGGGGGUUAAGCGCGCGCUCUAGUCGAACGGGUUUCGCCACGAUUUGUGUAAUAUAUGCACCUAAAGCAGAAAACAAGAGAAAACGAGGAAUUUGACCGUCGCGCAAUACCGCGCUUCGUCCUGGAGAUAAUUUGUGACCAGGAACAGCUACGGAACCUUCGUACUGAUGCACUUAAAAGUAAUACGCGAUACAAAAUGCCCUGAGAAGACAAAUUACGUGGUAGACAAAACAGUGUGGGAGAGAGAAGCAAAUAAGGACACAAAACACGAAGAGGAGGGCGUAUAAGGGAGUCGAUCAUAUAACGUCCACGAAAUAAUGGGCGCAAGCCAAGUCGCAAGUCGUUGAAACGUCUACGGCGAAUAAUGAGGUAGCAUAUCACAGGAGACCGGAGAUCGUCGUAAAGUGGCGUGCUGCAAUUGACGCACAAUAGUGUUCGCUGUAGAACAUCCCCCACUUGCCCGCCCAUAAUAAUACUGCGUCACAACAAUCAGUGAAGCAAUGAUCAAUGGUUUCUGGCUUUUCCCACAAUCUACAAUUUGGGUUCCAAGGAACAAAGAAUCCCGUAGUCUUCUGGCACGUCUUCACAGGUAGCGUCGAGGGCUCAGCAGCAAUCCAAAGUAUUGUACCACAUUCGAACAAUGGGAGGUACUGCUACGAAAUUGAUCAAGGGCUACACCAAGGUAACGCGCAGCACCAAUACCCCAGCAAAUGUCGGCAAACUGCUAUGGA